This is a long non-coding RNA of Photinus pyralis (common eastern firefly), 1469 nucleotides long. RefSeq lists it as uncharacterized. The transcript has 2 exons. The record is from RefSeq and is a predicted model, not a curated record. NCBI's taxonomy places the organism in Eukaryota, Metazoa, Arthropoda, Insecta, Coleoptera, Lampyridae.
GGCCGGUCUCGGCAGCCUCUGGGGUCAACUCAAUUGGAGAAACGGUAACUCCAAGAAUUCUACGGGUUCAGCAGAUGGCGGCGGCCACUUCCGCAAAACUAAAAUAAAAUUACGGUCGGGAGCGAAAGCAAUAAAGCACAAAUCGGCGAAUGCGGUGGAAAGCAAAUUCAUAAUUUCGGUACCUACAAAACUUGACGGUGAAAAAUGCAAAACCAGAAAAGUACAAGCAGUACAAAUUUACAGUAAUUAGAAAUGGCAAAAGAUUAAACUACGGUACGUUUUGGCAAAAAUGUACUCAAUAAAUUAAGUUGCUUACCAAAAGAAUAAAAAAUGACGGCAAAAUGACGGUCAUUACAAACAGCAAAAGAUGCCCACAAAAUUCAGUAUUUACCUUAUAAGGGGAUCUGAAUUUUAGAGAAGUGGAAUAGGGAAUUUCCGCCGUAUUCGGUACUAAAGCGGUGCAAAUUAGUUGGGUUUUUAAAUAAUUACUCGGCCUGUAAUUGUCGGAAAAAUAUAAGAUGGACAUCGGCAUCCCCCGUCUUUUUAGGGCGCUCAUUUUGAGAUAACUUUAAACGCCGCCUGCCGGAUUUUUCUACAACUAAUUAAAACGGCAUUCAUGUAUUCAUGCUUACUCAAUUAAGCCGCAUUCAAACUUCAAUAAUUACUCAUUAAUCCAAUCAGUACCUAGUCUAAUUGGAAUUUUCCGGCGCAACAACUGUUGGCGUUAUCUACGCCCCGGCAUGUCUGUAAACCUGAUAACGUGUAAGCAACUCGAUUUGGGAUAAAGUACGUACCUACCUUUUAUUGUCGCCUAUUUGAAAAAAUCAAUUCGCCCUACACUUUAUCCUAAGGGACAGUUACAUGAAAAUGUGCAUAGCGUAAUCAAAUUGGCCCUUCCAUAUGCAAAUAAAAAUAAUGUUUGUAUAUACCCACUAGUUUCCGCAAUAAUCGACCGUCUCAACACAAAAUGACUACCCUGUAUACUGAGUACAGAAUCGGAUAUAUAAUAAUAUUGCAUAUUUUCCUCAAUAUGCUAUUUACGUUAUCAGUUCUAAAGGAAGCGUGAUUGAAACGGGUAGUCCCUUUCUCCAUAAAAAGUGUUAAUGGGUAUGUAACGAAAAACGCCGGGCAUGUGUGUGGAUUACCUAUCGGUCGAAAGGAGUUCCCCUGGUUAAAUAUCCGUAGCCCAUACAUGUGUAUAAAAUCCAAUGCAUCCGAUCCAAACCCAUCAGUUUUUUCUUUCAUCUUGUGCAAACAACGAAGUGACAAACGCUCAACCUUUUGUUUAAUAUGAAAUUCUCCGUUGUUUUUGUAUUAGUACUGGUGGUUAUGUCCGCAUUUGUAAACAAUGCAGAAGCCAAAUGGAAGGGAUGGAAAAAAAUUGAAGAAGCUGGGAAAAGGGUAUUUAACGCAGCAGAAAAGGUUUUACCUGUCGCCCAGGGCUACGUUGGAGUCGCGGCAGCCGUAGG